AUGGAAGCCCCAGCUCAGCUUCUCUGCCUCCUGUUACUCUGGCUCCCAGAUACCACCGGAGAAAUCGUGAUGACCCAGUCUCCAGCCUUGCUGUCUUUGUCACCAGGUGAAAGAGCCACGCUCACCUGCAGGGCCAGUCAGACUGUUAGUAGCUACUUAGCCUGGUACCAGCAGAAACCUGGACAGGCUCCCAAGCUCCUCAUCUAUGGUGCAACCACAAGGGCCAGCGGCGUUCCAGCCAGAUUCAGUGGCAGUGGGUCUGGGACAGACUUUACUCUCACCAUCAGCAGUCUGGAGCGCGAAGAUUUUGCAAUUUACUAUUGUCAGCAAUAUAACAGUGGGUAUUCACAGUGA
Rhinolophus ferrumequinum (greater horseshoe bat) is the source of this 354-nucleotide non-coding RNA. NCBI's taxonomy places the organism in Eukaryota, Metazoa, Chordata, Mammalia, Chiroptera, Rhinolophidae. The record is from the annotation of a RefSeq genome assembly.